This 666-nucleotide ribosomal RNA is filed under the name Brachyseps aff. macrocercus Betampona. Its description in RNAcentral is "partial small subunit ribosomal RNA". The stretch from base 1 to 484 matches the Rfam family "Bacterial small subunit ribosomal RNA", at positions 854 to 1533 of the family's 1533-position model. Lineage: Eukaryota; Metazoa; Chordata; Lepidosauria; Squamata; Scincidae. The record is from RNAcentral.
CAAACACAAUAUUGUCCGCCAGAGAACUACAAGCGAAAAACUAGAAACUCCAAGGACUUGGCGGUGCUCUAUACCAACCUAGAGGAGCCUGUCCUAUAAUCGAUACCCCACGUUAAACCUCACCCCCUUUUGCCCCUCAGCCUAUAUACCGCCGUCGUCAGCCUACCCUAUGAGAGAAAAAUAGUAAGCAAAACAGUUAUUAACUAACACGUCAGGUCAAGGUGUAGCAUAUAAGGUGGAAGAGAUGGGCUACAUUUUCUACCCCAGAACACACGAAUGACACAGUGAAACACGUACCUAAAGGUGGAUUUAGUAGUAAGAUAAACAAGCAACAUUAUCUAAAACCUGCUCUGGAGCGCGCACACACCGCCCGUCACCCUCAUCGCCAUAAUACUACAAAAACAUAUAAGACCCCCUAUAACCCAGAUGAGGCAAGUCGUAACAUGGUAAGCGUACUGGAAAGUGCGCUUGGACUUACAAAUAGUAGCUUAAAACAAAGCAUUCAGCUUACAAUUGAACAAUGUUAGAUUAUACCCCUAACCUCUUUGAGCCAGAACCAAAGCCCAAAUACUACCACAAACAACUAAAUGAGACAAAACAAACCAUUUCCCACAACCAGUAUAUGUGUUAGAAGCUACCUUAAGGCGCAAUAGAAACAGUACCGCA